GUAUGGAGCAAAAAUAUAGAUGAAAACAAAAAAAAACUAAUUGCACAGUUUAUUUGUAAAUCGUGAGAUGAAUCUUUUGAGCCUAAUUAGUUCAUGAUUGGACAGUAUUUGCUAAAUAAAAAUGAAAAUGUUAUAGUACUCAAAAUCAAAAAAAAAUUAGAGCUAAACAAGUAGUGAGCAGAAGCAAUACUAUAUUAGGCUAAUGCUCUGAGUACUUGUCCCUAAUAAAAUUGGGCC
This 237-nucleotide long non-coding RNA is filed under the name Sorghum bicolor (sorghum). RNAcentral describes it as "long non-coding RNA (SBIC_LNC004190)". The record is from RNAcentral. Lineage: Eukaryota; Viridiplantae; Streptophyta; Magnoliopsida; Poales; Poaceae.